GUUGUAUGGUUAAGUGACUAAGCGUACACGGUGGAUGCCUUGGCAGUCAGAGGCGAUGAAGGACGUAGUAACUUGCGAUAAGCGUAGAUGAGGCAGUAACAGCCACUUGAGUCUACGAUUUCCGAAUGGGGAAACCCACUGGCAUAAGCCAGUAUCAUUGAGUGAAUACAUAGCUCAAUGAAGCGAACCGGGAGAACUGAAACAUCUAAGUACCCCGAGGAAAAGAAAUCAACCGAGAUUCCGAAAGUAGCGGCGAGCGAAAUUGGAUUAGCCCUUAAGCUUUACAUGUGUUAGACGAACGGUCUGGAAAGUCCGACGAUACAGGGUGAUAGUCCCGUAGUUGUAGACGCAUGUUCAGUGAAAUCGAGUAGGGCGGGACACGUGUUAUCCUGUCUGAAUAUGGGGGGACCAUCCUCCAAGGCUAAAUACUCCUGACUGACCGAUAGUGAACCAGUACCGUGAGGGAAAGGCGAAAAGAACCCCUGUGAGGGGAGUGAAAUAGAACCUGAAACCGUGUACGUACAAGCAGUAGGAGCACCUUCGUGGUGUGACUGCGUACCUUUUGUAUAAUGGGUCAGCGACUUAUAUUCAGUGGCAAGGUUAACCAUCUAGGGGAGCCGUAGGGAAACCGAGUCUUAACUGGGCGCCAUAGUCUCUGGAUAUAGACCCGAAACCGAGUGAUCUAGCCAUGGGCAGGUUGAAGGUUGAGUAACAUCAACUGGAGGACCGAACCGACUAAUGUUGAAAAAUUAGCGGAUGACUUGUGGCUAGGGGUGAAAGGCCAAUCAAACUCGGAGAUAGCUGGUUCUCCCCGAAAGCUAUUUAGGUAGCGCCUCGGACGAAUACUACUGGGGGUAGAGCACUGUUAAGGCUAGGGGGUCAUCCCGACUUACCAACCCUUUGCAAACUCCGAAUACCAGUAAGUACUAUCCGGGAGACACACGGCGGGUGCUAACGUCCGUCGUGGAGAGGGAAACAACCCAGACCGCCAGCUAAGGUCCCAAAUUACAGCUAAGUGGGAAACGAUGUGGGAAGGCUUAGACAGCUAGGAUGUUGGCUUAGAAGCAGCCAUCAUUUAAAGAAAGCGUAAUAGCUCACUAGUCGAGUCGGCCUGCGCGGAAGAUGUAACGGGGCUAAGUUGUAAACCGAAGCUGCGGCAAUGUUCUUUGAACAUUGGGUAGGGGAGCGUUCUGUAAGCCGUUGAAGGUGUGUUGUAAAGCAUGCUGGAGGUAUCAGAAGUGCGAAUGCUGACAUGAGUAACGACAAGGGGGGUGAAAAACCUCCCCGCCGGAAGACCAAGGGUUCCUGUCCAACGUUAAUCGGGGCAGGGUAAGUCGACCCCUAAGGCGAGGCCGAAAGGCGUAGUCGAUGGGAAACGGGUUAAUAUUCCCGUACUUCUUACAAUUGCGAUGGGGGGACGGAGAAGGCUAGGUGGGCCUGGCGACGGUUGUCCAGGUUCAAGUGCGUAGGCU
RNAcentral lists this ribosomal RNA (1472 nucleotides) under Vibrio vulnificus. RNAcentral's name for it is "partial 23S ribosomal RNA". It matches the Rfam family "Bacterial large subunit ribosomal RNA", at positions 1 to 1526 of the family's 2925-position model. The record is from RNAcentral. Lineage: Bacteria; Pseudomonadati; Pseudomonadota; Gammaproteobacteria; Vibrionales; Vibrionaceae.